Long non-coding RNA from Mytilus californianus (California mussel), 824 nucleotides. RefSeq lists it as uncharacterized. NCBI's taxonomy places the organism in Eukaryota, Metazoa, Mollusca, Bivalvia, Mytilida, Mytilidae. The transcript is spliced from 3 exons. The record is from RefSeq and is a predicted model, not a curated record.
ACAUGAGACUUUAUAUACAUGUAGCAUAUGGUUCAGGCUUGGUGGGAAAGUCUUCAAUGUUAAAUUUUGAAUAUUACUUCAUUUGAAAGCGAAAGCAACGCUUUUUACUUAGGACAUAUGAUCAAUAAUUAACAGUUUACAUGCAUGAAAUUGUUAAAGCGGAAAGUAGAAACAAAGUAAUUAUCCAUGUUUAAAUAAUAGUCUCAUAAGUGUGAAUUAUAUGGGUAUUAUGUUUGGAGAAUAUAAUUAAUAUUUUAUUGCAUGUGAGGAAUAUACAAUACUGUGAAGUCACGAUGGCUGCUCUGAGACACAGCUAUUCUAAGGUUACAGAUAACGCAUUUCCACCAUGCAAAUGUUACCAGUAUUUGAGCAAGAAAAGGAGCGGCCAGUAUUUUUUAAUGGGAAAGUUAUUACAUAUUAAGGUUAAUGAAAAGUCAGAAAAACAUCACGUGAUGGUCAAAGUUGGUGGUGGUUGGGAGACACUGGAGGAUUAUAUGGAUCGUCAUGUUCCAUACAAAUUUAAGAUAACAGAGUAUAAACGGCCAUUAUAUAGUAACACGUGUGAAGUUAAAGACAUAUAUCUUGGAAUUACAUCACAUUAUAAGUCCUGGAACCAAUCGAAACAGUUUUAUUAUUCACUAUUUUAAAAAAAAAAUACUUUUUUUGGUGAAUCAAUUGAUUCGCUGAAAGCUUUUUGUAACUGAUAGGUAUCUAAUAUUAAAUAAUUGCAAAACAACUUUCUUUGCAAACAACUUUCUUCAGUAAUGAAGGACAGUAAAUACAGUAAGCCUCAACAAAUCGAAUUACAACUUUGUAAAAUGUAA